Molecule: ribosomal RNA, 565 nt
Filed under: uncultured bacterium
Lineage: Bacteria
Description: partial 16S ribosomal RNA
Rfam family: Bacterial small subunit ribosomal RNA
Source: RNAcentral
UGGGGAAUUUUGGACAAUGGGCGAAAGCCUGAUCCAGCAAUGCCGCGUGUGUGAAGAAGGCCUUCGGGUUGUAAGCACUUUUGUCCGGAAAGAAAUCCUUGGCUCUAAUACAGUCGGGGGGAUGACGGUACCGGAAGAAUAAGCACCGGCUAACUACGUGCCAGCAGCCGCGGUAAUACGUAGGGUGCAAGCGUUAAUCGGAAUUACUGGGCGUAAAGCGUGCGCAGGCGGUUUGCUAAGACCGAUGUGAAAUCCCCGGGCUCAACCUGGGAACUGCAUUGGUGACUGGCAGGCUAGAGUAUGGCAGAGGGGGGUAGAAUUCCACGUGUAGCAGUGAAAUGCGUAGAGAUGUGGAGGAAUACCGAUGGCGAAGGCAGCCCCCUGGGCCAAUACUGACGCUCAUGCACGAAAGCGUGGGGAGCAAACAGGAUUAGAUACCCUGGUAGUCCACGCCCUAAACGAUGUCAACUAGGUUGUUGGGGGAUUCAUUUCCUUAGUAACGUAGCUAACGCGUGAAGUUGACCNCCUGGGGAGUACGGUCGCAAGAUUAAAACUUAAAUGAAUU